RNAcentral lists this ribosomal RNA (282 nucleotides) under uncultured Methanolinea sp. RNAcentral's name for it is "partial 16S ribosomal RNA". It matches the Rfam family "Archaeal small subunit ribosomal RNA", at positions 1056 to 1338 of the family's 1478-position model. The record is from RNAcentral. Lineage: Archaea; Methanobacteriati; Methanobacteriota; Methanomicrobia; Methanomicrobiales; Methanoregulaceae.
GCCAACAGUUGCCAGCAUGUCCUCCGGGAUGAUGGGGACACUGUUGGGACCGCCUCUGCUAAAGAGAGGAAGGAAUGGGCAACGGUAGGUCAGCAUGCCCCGAAUUAUCCGGGCUACACGCGGGCUACAAUGGUCAGGACAAUGGGUAUCGACACCGAGAGGUGGAGGCAAUCUCCUAAACCUGUCCUUAGUUCGGAUUGUGGGCUGCAACUCGCCCACAUGAAGCUGGAAUCCGUAGUAAUCGCGUUUCAAAAUAGCGCGGUGAAUAUGUCCCUGCUCCUU